CCUACGGGAGGCAGCAGUGGGGAAUAUUGCACAAUGGGGGGAACCCUGAUGCAGCGACGCCGCGUGGGUGAAGAAGUAUUUCGGUAUGUAAAGCCCUAUCAGCAGGGAAGAAGAUGACGGUACCUGAGAAAGAAGCCCCGGCUAACUACGUGCCAGCAGCCGCGGUAAU
This 169-nucleotide ribosomal RNA is filed under the name uncultured bacterium. RNAcentral's name for it is "partial 16S ribosomal RNA". It matches the Rfam family "Bacterial small subunit ribosomal RNA", at positions 338 to 524 of the family's 1533-position model. The record is from RNAcentral.